GAAAUGCCCAGGGGAGGCGCUGGCAGCCUGAGAUCCUGGGGAGUCCGAAUGGGGCAACCCGGUGGGCGCACGGCCCAUCACCCGGGAAACCGGGAGGGAACCGCGGGAAGUGAAACAUCUGAGUACCGCGAGGAGUAGAGAGGAUUCCCCGAGUAGCGGCGAGCGAACGGGGAGGAGCCCAAACUGGUGCGGCGUACGAGCUGACUGGCGCUGCCGUAGCAGGGUUGGACGAGCGUGAUGGAGGGGGCAGUCGACCCCUCGCAUUGACGGACAGGGCGAGCGGAAGGCCACUGGAACGGGCCAUCGCAGAGGGUGAGAAUCCCGUACGCAAUCUCCUGACCGUGAGUGUGAUCAUGGAUCGUGAGUACCGCCGGACACGAGAAAUCCGGCGGGAAGCGGGGCGGACCACCGCCCAAGGCUAAAUACCGCCAUCGACCGAUAGUGAACCAGUACCGUGAGGGAACGGUGAAAAGCACCCCGGCGAGGGGAGUGAAAUAGAUCCUGAAACCCUGCGCUUCCGGCCGGUCGGAGCAGGAGCAAUCCUGUGACGGCGUGCCUUUUGUAGAAUGAGCCGACGAGUGAGCCGUGCGAGCGAGGCUAAGCCAGGGACAGGCGGAGCCGGAGCGAAAGCGAGUCCGAAAGGGCGACGAGUUCGUACGGAUCGACCCGAAACUGGGUGAUCUACCCAUGGCCAGGCUGAAGCGGGCGGAACACGCCUGUGGAGGGCCGAACCGGGAUCUGUUGCAAAAGAUCCGGAUGAGCUGUGGGUAGCGGUGAAAUGCCAAGCGAACCCAGAGAUAGCUGGUUCUCCCCGAAAUGCAUUUAGGUGCAGCCCCGGCAUGGGGCGCGGCGGAGGUAUCGCGCUGGAUUGACGAGGGGGCUACUCGCUUACCGACUCAAACCAAACGACGAAUGCCGCCGCGAUGGUGCCGGGCGUGAGACAGCGGGUGCGAAGAUUCGUUGUCGAGAGGGAAACAGCCCAGACCGCCAGCUAAGGUCCCCAACUACGGACUAAGUGGGCAAGGUGGUCGCGGUGCAGAAACAACCAGGAGGUUGGCUUAGAAGCAGCCACCCUUGAAAGAGUGCGUAAUAGCUCACUGGUCGAGUGUGCCGCGGCGCCGACAAUCCACCGGGGCUCAAGUCCGUGACCGAAGCUGCGGAUGGUGGAAACGCCAUGGUAGGGGAGCGUCCCCGUCAGCGGUGAAGCCAGCCUGGGAGGGCUGGUGGAGCGGCGGGGAGUGCGAAUGUCGGCAUGAGUAGCGCGAAGGGGGUGUGAAUCCCCCUCACCGAAUGCCCGAGGGUUCCGCAGCCAUGCUGAUCAGCUGCGGGUGAGGCGGGCCUAAGCCGAGGGCGCGAGCCGUAGGCGAUGGACAACCGGUCAAGAUUCCGGUUCCACCCACGACCGUUUGAGCGAUGGGGGGACGCGGGGGGCUAGGUCCCGGGGCAGCAAUGCCCUCCAAACUGGUAGGCGGAGCCGGGAGGCAAAUCCCCUGGCUCGAGCGCUGAGAGGUGAUGGGAAGGUGCGUGUGCAAACACAAGCCGCAGGGAUUGAGGCCGUACCGCCGAGAAAAGCCUCUAGUGAGGGCGUGGGUGCCCGUACCGCAAACCGACACAGGUGGGCUGGUCGAGUAGACCAAGGUGGACGAGAGAACCUCUGUCAAGGAACUCGGCAAAUUGGCCCCGUAACUUCGGGAGAAGGGGCGCCCCGUGUAGCGUGAAGGCGCGAGCCGCCGGAGCGUGAGGGGGCCGCAGUGACCAGGCCCAGGCGUCUGUUUACCAAAAACACCGGUCCCUGCCAACGCGGAGAGCGUGGACGUAUAGGGGCUGAGACCUGCCCAGUGCCGGAAGGUUAAGGGGAGCGGUGCAAGCUGCGAACCGAAGCCCCGGUAAACGGCGGCCGUAACUAUAACGGUCCUAAGGUAGCGAAAUUCCUUGUCGGGUAAGUUCCGACCCGCACGAAAGGUAGAACGAUCUGGGCGCUGUCUCGACAGGGGACUCGGCGAA
RNAcentral lists this ribosomal RNA (2004 nucleotides) under Actinomycetota bacterium. Its description in RNAcentral is "partial 23S ribosomal RNA". It matches the Rfam family "Bacterial large subunit ribosomal RNA", at positions 70 to 2040 of the family's 2925-position model. The record is from RNAcentral. Lineage: Bacteria; Bacillati; Actinomycetota.